UAAGACGAGGGAUCCUAGCGUUGUUCGGAAUUAUUGGGCGUAAAGCGGAUGUAGGUGGCUUUGUAAGUCAGAUGUGAAAGCCCAGGGCUCAACCCUGGAAGUGCAUUUGAUACUGCGAAGCUUGAGUGUCGGAGAGGUUACUAGAAUUGUUGGUGUAGUGGUGAAAUACGUAGAUAUCAACAGGAAUACCGGAGGCGAAGGCGGGUAACUGGCCGAACACUGACACUGAGAUCCGAAAGCGUGGGGAUCAAACAGGAUUAGAUACCCUGGUAGUCCACGCCGUAAACGAUGGAUACUUGUUGUUGGAGGUAUUGACCCCUUCAGUGACGAAGCUAACGCGUUAAGUAUCCCGCCUGGGGAGUACGGUCGCAAGAUUAAAACUCAAAGAAAUUGACGGGGGCCCGCACAAGCGGUGGAGCAUGUGGUUAAUCGAUGCAUCGC
Molecule: ribosomal RNA, 441 nt
Filed under: Bdellovibrio bacteriovorus
Lineage: Bacteria; Pseudomonadati; Bdellovibrionota; Bdellovibrionia; Bdellovibrionales; Pseudobdellovibrionaceae
Description: bacterial SSU rRNA
Rfam family: Bacterial small subunit ribosomal RNA
Source: RNAcentral